GAUGAAGAACGUAGCGAAAUGCGAUAAGUAAUGUGAAUUGCAGAAUUCAGUGAAUCAUCGAAUCUUUGAACGCACAUUGCGCCCUCUGGUAUUCCGGGGGGCAUGCCUGUUCGAGCGUCAUUAUAACCACUCAAGCUCUCGCUUGGUAUUGGGGUUCGCGGUUUCGCGGCCCCUAAAAUCAGUGGCGGUGCCUGUCGGCUUUACGCGUAGUAAUACUUCUCGCGAUUGAGUUCGAUAGGUCUACUUGCCAGUAACCCCCAAUUUUUACAGGUUGACCUCGGAUCAGGUAGGGAUACCCGCUGAACUUAAGCAUAUCAAUAAGCGGAGGA
This 329-nucleotide unclassified non-coding RNA is filed under the name soil metagenome. RNAcentral describes it as "partial contains 5.8S ribosomal RNA, internal transcribed spacer 2, and large subunit ribosomal RNA". The stretch from base 1 to 120 matches the Rfam family "5.8S ribosomal RNA", at positions 35 to 154 of the family's 154-position model. The record is from RNAcentral.